GACAGAGGGUGCAAACGUUGCUCGGAAUUACUGGGCGUAAAGCGCGUGUAGGUGGCCUGGUGUGUCAGAUGUGAAAUCCCUGGGCUCAACCCAGGAACUGCACCUGAAACUACCAGCCUUGAGUGGUGGAGAGGGAAGUGGAAUUCCUGGUGUAGAGGUGAAAUUCGUAGAUAUCAGGAGGAACACCAGUGGCGAAGGCGGCUUCCUGGACACCAACUGACGCUGAGACGCGAAAGCGUGGGGAGCAAACAGG
RNAcentral lists this ribosomal RNA (253 nucleotides) under uncultured bacterium. Its description in RNAcentral is "partial 16S ribosomal RNA". It matches the Rfam family "Bacterial small subunit ribosomal RNA", at positions 524 to 776 of the family's 1533-position model. The record is from RNAcentral.